GAUGAACGCUGGCGGCGUGCUUAACACAUGCAAGUCGAACGGAAAGGCCCUUCGGGGUACUCGUUUGGCGAACGGGUGAGUAACACGUUGGUGAUCUGGUCUGCACUUUGUGAUAAGCCUGGGAAACCGGGUCUAAUACCGAAUAGGACCACGCGCUUCAUGGCGUGUGGGUGAAAGCUUUUGCGGUGUGGUAUGUGCCCGCGCCGUAUCAGCUUGUUGGUGGGGUAAUGGUCUACCAAGGCGAGGACAGGUAGACGACCUGAGAGAGUGACCGGCCACAUGGGAGCGUAGACAGGGUCACUGGGACUACGGUAGGGAGCAGAAUGCAACGUGAGGCAACGGUGGGAAGUAUUACACAGCGAGGGCAAGCCUGAUGCGGAGACGCCGCGUGAGGAAUGACGGGCUUCGGGUUAUGAACAUCUUUCAAUAGAGACGAAGCGGAAGUGACGGUACCUAAAGAAGAAGCACCGGCCAACUACGUG
This 482-nucleotide ribosomal RNA is filed under the name uncultured bacterium. RNAcentral's name for it is "partial 16S ribosomal RNA". It matches the Rfam family "Bacterial small subunit ribosomal RNA", at positions 28 to 507 of the family's 1533-position model. The record is from RNAcentral.